GUGAGGAAUAUUGGUCAAUGGGCGGGAGCCUGAACCAGCCAAGUCGCGUGAAGGAAGAAGGAUCUAUGGUUCGUAAACUUCUUUUGCAGGGGAAUAAAGUGCGGGACGUGUCCUGUUUUGUAUGUACCCUGAGAAUAAGGAUCGGCUAACUCCGUGCCAGCAGCCGCGGUAAUACGGAGGAUCCGAGCGUUAUCCGGAUUUAUUGGGUUUAAAGGGUGCGUAGGUGGUUUGAUAAGUCAGCGGUGAAAGUUUGCAGCUUAACUGUAAAAAUGCCGUUGAAACUGUCGGACUUGAGUGUAAAUGAGGUAGGCGGAAUGCGUGGUGUAGCGGUGAAAUGCAUAGAUAUCACGCAGAACUCCGAUUGCGAAGGCAGCUUACUAAGUUACAACUGACACUGAAGCACGAAAGCGUGGGGAUCAAACAGGAUUAGAAACCCUGGUAGUCC
Molecule: ribosomal RNA, 445 nt
Filed under: uncultured bacterium
Lineage: Bacteria
Description: partial 16S ribosomal RNA
Rfam family: Bacterial small subunit ribosomal RNA
Source: RNAcentral